Molecule: ribosomal RNA, 449 nt
Filed under: uncultured bacterium
Lineage: Bacteria
Description: bacterial SSU rRNA
Rfam family: Bacterial small subunit ribosomal RNA
Source: RNAcentral
UGGGGAAUCUUGCACAAUGCGCGAAAGCGUGAUGCAGCAACGCCGCGUGGGAGAAGAAGGCCUUCGGGUUGUAAAUCCCUUUCAGUUGGGACGAAGCUUCGUCGGUUAAUAGCCGGUUGGAGUGACGGUACCUUCAGAAGAAGCCCCGGCUAACUACGUGCCAGCAGCCGCGGUAAUACGUAGGGGGCUAGCGUUGUCCGGAAUCAUUGGGCGUAAAGCGCGUGUAGGCGGCUCAACAAGUCUGCUGUGAAAGUCCAGGGCUCAACCCUGGAAUGCCGGUGGAAACUGUUGGGCUAGAGUCCGGAAGGGGCGAGUGGAAUUCCUGGUGUAGCGGUGAAAUGCGCAGAUAUCAGGAGGAACACCAAUGGCGAAGGCAGCUCGCUGGGACGGUACUGACGCUGAGACGCGAAAGCGUGGGGAGCAAACAGGAUUAGAUACCCGGGUAGUCC